GUACUUGACUUUUACCAUUUUCCCACAAAUUUGUCUGCUAAAAGAACAGGAGGCGAUCGAUACUUUCUUUCCACCUCAAAACUUCAAGCAUGAGCCCCUGGUCGUCUGUUGCUCCAGAAGGUGCCUCGACAACACUAAUGUCUCAUUACCAUGGCAGAUGGAUAAACGAAGCCCCACGUAUUCCAUCUAAAUCAUCUUUGAAAUUUAGUACCGCAGGGAUAUCCUUUUCUGAAAGGCAAUGAAGUUGAGGAGUUCCAAAUGCCAAGCUCAAGGAACAGAACUAGUGGAUGGGUGUAAGCAGGAUCUGUCCUACUCAAUGGGUAGAGAAAUGAGCUGUUUGACUACUGCAGGAGGCUAAAACUGACUGGGGAAAACCUUUCUCUUUGGUCAUCUACGCAACAAGGCAAUACCUCCUGAUGCUGA
This is a long non-coding RNA of Alexandromys fortis (reed vole), 423 nucleotides long. RefSeq lists it as uncharacterized. The transcript is spliced from 3 exons. The record is from RefSeq and is a predicted model, not a curated record. Lineage: Eukaryota; Metazoa; Chordata; Mammalia; Rodentia; Cricetidae.